AAUUAAUUGAAAGCUGCAGCAGCCACAGCCAGCAGCCCACCAGACAGCCCCGCAGCACCCCUGCCUGUGAUGGUUUCCAUACAGUGUGAUGCUACACUGCUUGGGAGCAAUGCUUUUUACUUAGAAGCAGGACACAGAAAUGACUUUGUAUAAAGGUUUAGAAACUGGGGUCCCAGGCUCCACCUGCCAGAGACCUGGGGGCAGAGGUGUGUGGCAGCAGACGUCUGCCUGCCCUGUGAGCAGACUUGCAGGGUGUCGAACAGUCUUUAGGACCAAGCUAGUGUCUCUGGAAAGUAUUGGAUGAAAUCUGGCGGCUCCCCUACAUGGAGGGGCCAUCACUAAAAGUCACCCUCCCAGAAAUAGCGUCCCCCCACUGAUGUCAGCAAACACCAUUGCUCCCAAAGGCCCCUGGGGGAGUGGCAACACAGAGUGCAGGCUGGGGACUAAAUGGGACGCUGGGACAUGCAAACCUUAAGGCCUCGGGGAAUUGGGAAGAGGGUGACGGGCCCCAAACCACAGCUCAUACAAACUCAGAAUGCAAAGUAGAUGUGCAGAUAGAAACCACAGAGUGUCAGCCCAAGGGUAUGGGGCUCACGCUUCACUAGCCUCCACCCACGCAGCUUAGCCAUUUCCAUUCCACAGAGAAAACCAUCAGCAAAUGGGCCUUUGUACUUCACAGCAGAGGGACCGGUCACUUGCCACCUGGAGGACAGCAGUGGUUCCCAGAGAGAGGCCACGGAUCUGCGGUGGGAGGGUCGGAGAUGGCUCCACAGGUGGGCAAUCCCUGGCCAUCCCAGCGCAGCAGGAUAUCUGGGGCAGGACCCCCAUGUGCACGUGCCCAGGAAGUUCCUGUCCUACAGUCUGUGCUUUCUUCAAACAACAGACACCGAGAGUGGAGUCAGCACGUCACCUGUGGGACAGGAUGUGUGGGGGCGCUAUGCAAACCCUGAGGCCCUGCUAGUGGGCCUGGCUCACAGGCAGCAAAAGGACACCCCCAGCUGCUGGGCCUGACCCUCUCGGUGUACACCGCCUGAGAGGAGGCUCCCAAUAGGAUCUGCAUGUCCACUAAGUCAACUCAUUCUGGAGCCUAUCAUCUACACCGCUCACAUCCUACACCGCAACAUGAAAAGGGCAGACUCGAGUUUAGGUACCUGCCCAUGCGUGAGCCUGACUUCCUACCUGCGGACUAGAGUGGAAACAUGAAGCAAAUAUCACCAGACUGCUGGCUUUAACAUCAGCACUUGAGUUCAUGUAUCCGGGGAAGGCUCCAGUCCAGAGUUGCCAUCACCCCGCUAUGGGCCUCAGUUCCCACAUCCUGGCACCUGGGUUAGGGCUCCUUUACCUCCGACUCAGGGAUGAUGACCCUUGGAGCAAAAGCACAUCAUGACUUCCUCCACUCAAUGACAGCGCCCUAAUCACACCCCGAACAGGCCAGAACGAGCUCCCCAGGGUCAGAGGUGACACCUGAGUUCCCCCAGGCGCCCAUCAAGGCCUCGAGCCACAGAAUCUGUCAGGCAAAUGGCUAACUGGCCGCAACCACAAGGAAAGUCAGGCCAGCUUGUCUGCAAGCAGUCUUCACUGGAUGUCACACAGCUGGAGAGGAAAUGAAAAUCGGUGUGCUGCCUUCAAAUAGUCUAAGACGAACAUCUCUGACGGCAGGGCCUGCCCACCCCGUCAACCAUCAGGCCUGCCAUCCGAUGCUCAGAUAAGUCGUUGCCCGUGGGGCCAAGUGUGCAGAGGCUGGCCCUGGGAGCGGCCAGAGGGAGGUCCCAAAGACUCCGCUGCGGAUCCCUCCCCACCAUGUUCCAGAUCCCCCACAUGGUCGAUCUGAAAAAGGUGAGCAGAUGAAGCCAAGCCCCUGAAUCUUGCGUGACCAGAAACAUGGCCGCUGGCCUGCCAGGCACAAAGCCUUUGAGCAGCUACACAGUUACACCAAGAUCUAAGCAGUGCAGCCACCCUCCCUGGAGCACUCCCUGACAGUCAGUCACACAGGCCUCUCCAGUUCUGCAAUGCCCAGGGAAAUCCUCAUGCCUCCCAGUCAGCCCUCUACAUAUGGGCUUCCCCUCCUCUCCAUCCCCACAGAAAUACACCACACUUGCCCCAGAAUCAGGACACCGGCAGGCAUCUGAAGUCACACCCUAUACAGAAUACUACAGACAAAUGCUAUCUCCCUCCAUGGUUUUCCCAAAGCCAUCAGGUGCUAGUCUAUAUUUAAAGUCUUCACAUUGUAGUUUCUUACAUGAGUGGGAAGUUCCUGCUGUAUUUCAGAAAAAGCAUCAUGGCAGAUGCUCUAGAACAUUCACUAAUGAAUCAGCAGACAGCAAAACUUCCCCUGUGCCACGGGAGCAUGCAGUCAGUGGACCAGUGUGCAGUGUACAUCCAUGACCUGCCUGACUCCCUCUAAGCGCAUGGGACGCAGGUGAGCCACGGCAAUCUCUGCCCUCAGGCCGACAGCAGAUGCCCCGGGACUUGACCAGGACUGGACCUGCUUUGGUGAGCGACGCAGCCCUGGACCUGUGUACUUGGGGCUUCCUGAAUAGGCUGUGAUCAACUGUUGAGGGGGCAACUGGGGGACCCACAGGCUCCCCAGAGACCAUCCCUGCCUUGGCUACCCAGAGAGCCUCACAGGACGCAUGCUAGUAUGUCCCGGUCACUGCACUGGAGGCAGGAUGUGCAGAUGGCUAGUUAGGGGCACCAUUGCUCCCCACUUCAUGACUCCACCCAGCACUGAGAGCCAGCCCCACGGAGGCCUGGACGCCACAGGACAUAAGCAAACACCCACUGCAGUGUCCCUGAGACUCUGCCACAUGAAUCUCUACGAUAGUUCCUAAUCAAUCCGAGUCUUUUCUACAAUAAUAUGGUCUUUUCUUGUCCUUGGAGGAAAGGUAAUGGUCUCAGUUCUGCUUUGACCUAAAGGAGGGAGGUAGCCCAAUGGCCAAUGGGUAAAGACACCCGAGCAAGGACACCUGUCCACCCCUCAGAAGCCUCAGGGAGGUGGUAGUUGGUGUUUGCACCUCAGCCCCGAGGGCAUGGGGCCCCUCCCUGUUUCUCAAAAAACAGUUGCCUCCGAAGGGGAAGGAAAUUGGCAAAGUGCAUCUAGGCAAAGCGGGUGGAAGAGGAGAGCAUUUGGUGAAGGCAGUUAUGAGGAAUGCCCUGGGAUGGGCAGUGCACCCCCGCAGGGAAGACCCCCUGAACGGCUUCCCAGACCCCACUCUCCCUGAAACCAUGGUGCUGAAGAAGCAAUGGACCAUGAUAUCUUCAUCUUCACAUUAGAAACCUUUCUGCCGGGGCACCUGGGGGGCUCAGUCAGUGAAGUAUCUGCCUUCACCACACAUCCCAAUUUCAGGGCCUUGAGAUAGAGCCCGGAAUCGGAAUCGGGCUCCCUGCUCAGUGGGGAGUCUGUUUCCCCCUCUGCCCCUGCCCCUCUCCUUGCUCAUGCUCUUGCUCUGUCUCUAUCAAAUAAAUAAAAUAUUUAAAAAAAAAAA
RNAcentral lists this long non-coding RNA (3485 nucleotides) under Canis lupus familiaris (dog). Its description in RNAcentral is "lncRNA (ENSCAFG00845006787.1)". Lineage: Eukaryota; Metazoa; Chordata; Mammalia; Carnivora; Canidae. The record is from RNAcentral.